Bos indicus x Bos taurus (hybrid cattle) is the source of this 1534-nucleotide long non-coding RNA. Lineage: Eukaryota; Metazoa; Chordata; Mammalia; Artiodactyla; Bovidae. The record is from Ensembl.
CAAAAACAAACUACCUCAAACCGUGAAAGGCCAAAUAAACUGAAAAGCAGUGUCCUGUAUAGUCUUUUUUAAAAUCUGUGCAGGUAUUUAGCACACUAUGUAACCUCAUGGCUCCUGGAGGAAGCUUACUGAGCGGCACUACUUCUGGGGGAGAGGAGGAAUUAGCUCAGGCUCUUUAAUCCAGCCUGCCUCUUCUAUUAAUGAACGGCUGAAGUGCCUUGGCAAAUCCCAGGUUGAGUUGAUAGCCAGGUCUUGUUAAGAAAUCCUAAAGCAAGUUUUAGGACCCAAGAGCAAAUAAUUCACGGCUAAUCCUUAGCAUGAAAAUCAAGGUGAGAGCGAAAGCAAGCAAAAGAGGGAGAAAGAGAGAGAACAUCAGGGGAAUGAAUGCGCGAAAGAAAAGAUGACACAGGUAAGAAUGCGGAGGGUCAUUUUUCUGACCAAUAUAGGUUCUUCCAUUAGCCAGACAGUCCUGGAAUGUCUGUCUGGCAGCGGGACUACAGUACAGUCUCAGGUCAUGGGAAUCUUCCACCAGAUCACAGGAAGGACGAAGAAAAACAGUGAGAGUUAGACUAUGAGGAGGAGGAGGAGGUGGCAGAGGAGAAGGAGGGGAGCCAACCUGGAGUCUGAGAGAAGAAUCCCGGCGCCACGGUGUAACAGCUGCCUCAGGCUGUUUAUUAUGGAGAAGUUUGCCAGGCACAGAGUUACCAUUCCCUUUUCUCCUUUACCAUGUAAAUGUCAGUUGAAAACGUGCCAAGUUCCAGAUACAAUAGAAUCAUAAUACUACCACUGUGCUUCUGGAUUAAUUAAUCAUAAUGAAUGAAAUUUUUCUUGAUUUUGUAUGCCAAGCCUGGAAGCAUAAUUCAAUUACAUCUUUGACUUCUGUAGCCUGAAGCAACCACUUAAACUCAGCUGUCAUAAAGCUUUUGGAGUGAGAUCAAAAAACACUAAGUAAUAAUAAUUUAAAAAAGAUUGUAAAAAGGAAUAAGAGGAAGUAAAAAAUAUUCUUUAAAUAUAUCAAAGGAAUAUAUGUAUGUAUCAAAGAAGGGCACGAUAAAAUAUUGUUUCCAAAUAUGAGAAUCGAAUGUGAUGACACUGCCUUAAAAAAUCUUUGUUUUCUCCUCCCAAACCAUCUGGAAAUAGUGUUAGGCAUAAACAAAACCCACGCUGGAACACUGAAAGGGAGCACUGAAAACCUCAGUGAAGACUAAACUAAUCUGAAAUCUGUCAGAACUUAAACUAAUCUGAAAUCUGUCAGAACUUAUUUUCACUUUCAGAACUAGGAGAUCAUUAUGAAACCUCUAAGUUACUCCUGUAAUAUAGACUUUUUGUUCUGUUUUGCUCUGUUUGCUUGUUUCUAAUGUAAGUGCCAUCCCCUUGAGGGCUGUCUGUAUAUGAAGCCAAAUUGUCUGUGGUUUAAUUUAUAACAGCCACUGUUUUCCUUUAUUGCAAAAAUUAAAAUGACCAUAAAGAAAAAUUUAAGAAUCCUCUGUAAUCCCAGCACUUAUAGAUAUCCCCAGCUAAUAUUUGGGUGUAA